CAGGAUGGACCCGCGUCUGAUUAGCUAGUUGGUAAGGUAACGGCUUACCAAGGCGACGAUCAGUAGCCGACCUGAGAGGGUGAUCGGCCACAUUGGAACUGAGACACGGUCCAAACUCCUACGGGAGGCAGCAGUGGGGAAUAUUGCACAAUGGGCGAAAGCCUGAUGCAGCAACGCCGCGUGAGUGAUGAAGGCCUUCGGGUCGUAAAACUCUGUCCUCAAGGAAGAUAAUGACGGUACUUGAGGAGGAAGCCCCGGCUAACUACGUGCCAGCAGCCGCGGUAAUACGUAGGGGGCUAGCGUUAUCCGGAUUUACUGGGCGUAAAGGGUGCGUAGGCGGUCUUUCAAGUCAGGAGUGAAAGGCUACGGCUCAACCGUAGUAAGCUCUUGAAACUGGGAGACUUGAGUGCAGGAGAGGAGAGUGGAAUUCCUAGUGUAGCGGUGAAAUGCGUAGAUAUUAGGAGGAACACCAGUUGCGAAGGCGGCUCUCUGGACUGUAACUGACGCUGAGGCACGAAAGCGUGGGGAGCAAACAGGAUUAGAUACCCUGGUAGUCCACGCUGUAAACGAUGAGUACUAGGUGUCGGGGGUUACCCCCCUCGGUGCCGCAGCUAACGCAUUAAGUACUCCGCCUGGGAAGUACGCU
RNAcentral lists this ribosomal RNA (646 nucleotides) under Clostridioides difficile. RNAcentral's name for it is "bacterial SSU rRNA". It matches the Rfam family "Bacterial small subunit ribosomal RNA", at positions 221 to 886 of the family's 1533-position model. The record is from RNAcentral. Lineage: Bacteria; Bacillati; Bacillota; Clostridia; Peptostreptococcales; Peptostreptococcaceae.